Myotis davidii is the source of this 187-nucleotide long non-coding RNA. RefSeq lists it as uncharacterized. The record is from RefSeq and is a predicted model, not a curated record. The transcript is spliced from 2 exons. NCBI's taxonomy places the organism in Eukaryota, Metazoa, Chordata, Mammalia, Chiroptera, Vespertilionidae.
ACCCAAGGACAAACAAAGUUAGAAAAUAAGUCUAAUUUUGAUUAGUUCUUUUAUUCAGGUAUUUUUUAAGGAGGAGGCAACCCGGUCCCUCCCUGCAACAUGGGUAAUAGCUCCUCCUCAAAACUCGACUGUCUUAGAAUGAAUUGUCUUCCUCUAACUCACAAUGGGAAAUAAUACAGGCCAGUGU